RNAcentral lists this ribosomal RNA (253 nucleotides) under uncultured bacterium. Its description in RNAcentral is "partial 16S ribosomal RNA". It matches the Rfam family "Bacterial small subunit ribosomal RNA", at positions 524 to 776 of the family's 1533-position model. The record is from RNAcentral.
UACGUAGGUGGCAAGCGUUAUCCGGAUUUAUUGGGCGUAAAGGGAACGCAGGCGGUCUUUUAAGUCUGACGUGAAAGCCUUCGGCUUAACCGGAGUAGUGCAUUGGAAACUGGGAGACUUGAGUGCAGAAGAGGAGAGUGGAACUCCAUGUGUAGCGGUGAAAUGCGUAGAUAUAUGGAAGAACACCAGUGGCGAAAGCGGCCCUCUGGUCUGUAACUGACGCUGAGGUUCGAAAGCGUGGGUAGCAAACAGG